UGAAGAGUUUGAUCAUGGCUCAGAUUGAACGCUGGCGGCAGGCCUAACACAUGCAAGUCGAACGGUAACAGGAAGCAGCUUGCUGCUUCGCUGACGAGUGGCGGACGGGUGAGUAAUGUCUGGGAAACUGCCUGAUGGAGGGGGAUAACUACUGGAAACGGUGGCUAAUACCGCAUAACGUCGCAAGACCAAAGAGGGGGACCUUCGGGCCUCUUGCCAUCAGAUGUGCCCAGAUGGGAUUAGCUUGUUGGUGAGGUAACGGCUCACCAAGGCGACGAUCCCUAGCUGGUCUGAGAGGAUGACCAGCCACACUGGAACUGAGACACGGUCCAGACUCCUACGGGAGGCAGCAGUGGGGAAUAUUGCACAAUGGGCGCAAGCCUGAUGCAGCCAUGCCGCGUGUAUGAAGAAGGCCUUCGGGUUGUAAAGUACUUUCAGCGGGGAGGAAGGUGUUGUGGUUAAUAAC
This 466-nucleotide ribosomal RNA is filed under the name Salmonella enterica. RNAcentral's name for it is "bacterial SSU rRNA". It matches the Rfam family "Bacterial small subunit ribosomal RNA", at positions 1 to 467 of the family's 1533-position model. The record is from RNAcentral. Lineage: Bacteria; Pseudomonadati; Pseudomonadota; Gammaproteobacteria; Enterobacterales; Enterobacteriaceae.